This 914-nucleotide long non-coding RNA is filed under the name Nicotiana benthamiana. RNAcentral's name for it is "long non-coding RNA (NBEN_LNC028800)". The record is from RNAcentral. Lineage: Eukaryota; Viridiplantae; Streptophyta; Magnoliopsida; Solanales; Solanaceae.
CCCACCUCCUCAAUAAAAAAUAAAAAAAAAAGUCCAACCCUACCCCUUAGCUCUACAUACCCAUUAUAUAUGUAUAUAUAGGUUCGUUUGUACAGAUUUCCGGCGAAAUCAUGCUUCGUCUUCUUCUUCUUAGCUGAGGUGCAGAUUUCCCGGCGAGAAAUUUCUGGUGAUGGUAAACGACGUAGUUUCGCAGGCAUUUAGAGCGUUGGUGGAAAGUGCUGAGAAGAAGUACGCCAGAGUACGGGAUUUGCCGGCGUACGGAAGAUGGGGAACGAGCCCAAUAAAAAAAAUAUAAAAAAAUGUCCAACCCUACCCCUUACCUCUACAUACCCAUUAUAUAUGUAUAUAUAGGUUUGUUUAUACAGAUUUUCCGGCGAAAUAAUGCUUCAUCUUCUUAUUCUUAGCUGAGGUACAGAUUUUACAGCGAGAAAUUUUAUGGCGAUGGUAGACGACGUAGUUCCGUAUGCAUUUAGAGCGUUGGUAAAAAAUGCUGAGAAGAAGUACGUCAGAGUACGUGAUUUGCCGGCAUACGGACGAUGGAACGAGCAACCACAACUUUCAAGAGGUGUUUAAAGCGUACAUGAGGUUAUGGAAAUACCAGUAGGAGAAUUGAGCGAAACUAACGGACUGCGGGUUACAGCGAUGGGAGAUCGGCGAGAUCGCUUCGAGAAUCAGGAGUAUAUCGACGGUUCGGGAAAACAACAAAUGGUGAGGUUUAAAGAACUAGGGUUCUAUGCUAGUUUUUUUAUGGCUUCGUUGAUUUUUAAACCAAUCGAAAAUGGUGAAACUACUCGUGGAACAAUAUAAAGCUAUUGUUGAUGACAGUAGAGCUGCUUUUCCAAUUUCGUACAAUUCGAGGCCGAUAUGAAGGGCAAAGGCGUCGCGAGCUAGAGAUUUCGCCGGUUUGAGGUGAG